GAUGAAGAACGCAGCGAAAUGCGAUAAGUAAUGCGAAUUGCAGAAUUUCCGUGAGUCAUCGAAUCUUUGAACGCACAUUGCGGCCAUAGGUAUUCCUUUGGCCAUGCCUGUUCGAGCGUCAUUUACACCCUCAAGCCUAGCUUGGUGUUGGGCGCCUGUCCCGCCGUUUUCGCGCGCGGACUCGCCUCAAAGUCAUUGGCGGCGGUCGUGCCGGCCCCCUCGCGCAGCACAUUUGCGCUUCUCGGAGGCCCGGCGGAUCCGCGCUCCAGCAAGACCUUUCACGACUUGACCUCGGAUCAGGUAGGGAUACCCGCUGAACUUAAGCAUAUCAAUAAGCGGAGGA
Molecule: unclassified non-coding RNA, 343 nt
Filed under: soil metagenome
Description: partial contains 5.8S ribosomal RNA, internal transcribed spacer 2, and large subunit ribosomal RNA
Rfam family: 5.8S ribosomal RNA (bases 1-121)
Source: RNAcentral